This 205-nucleotide long non-coding RNA is filed under the name Olea europaea (common olive). RNAcentral describes it as "long non-coding RNA (OEUR_LNC007927)". The record is from RNAcentral. Lineage: Eukaryota; Viridiplantae; Streptophyta; Magnoliopsida; Lamiales; Oleaceae.
GCAGUCGAUAUGAGUCCUGAGGCUGGCGAACCGAACGGACUAGUUGCCAUGCUGAUUUGGUGGUAAAGUCACCAUCCGAAGUAAUUUUCCAAACAAUUCGGUCCGUGGCAUCUGCACAUAAAGGUAUCGCCCCUACCUGUUCCGCCAUGUGAGAAGGAAGGGCCUGUAAUAACCGUCCAAAAUCCCACCCAGUGUCGUCAAAAAA